This is an RNA transcript of Eucalyptus grandis, 2896 nucleotides long. RefSeq lists it as uncharacterized. The record is from RefSeq and is a predicted model, not a curated record. The transcript is spliced from 12 exons. Lineage: Eukaryota; Viridiplantae; Streptophyta; Magnoliopsida; Myrtales; Myrtaceae.
GAAAUUCAAGGGCUUGAUAGUUUGGAGUAUUUGGAAAGUCUAGAUAUCUCUUGGUGCAUUUCAAUUGGAAGGCUAGACCUUCCAAAAUUCGGAAGUAUGAAGAGAUUAGUUGUUGGUUGGUGCAAGAAAUUAGCUGAAAUUCAAGGCAUUGAUAGGUUGGAGUCAUUGGAAAGACUAAAUAUCUCUUGGUGCGCUUCAAUUGAAAGGCUACUCCUUCCAAAAUCCAAGAGUCUUAAGAUAUUAGAAGUUAGAGACUGCGAAAACUUGGUCGAAAUUCAAGGCCUUGAUAGGUUGGAGUAUUUGGAAAGUCUAGAUAUCAAUGGGUGCAAUUCAAUUGAAAGGCUAGACCUUCCAAAAUUCGGGAGGUUGAAGAAAUUAGAUGCUAGAGGCUGCGAAAACUUAGCCGAAAUUCAAGGGCUCGAUAGUUUGGAGUAUUUGGAAAGUCUAGAUAUCUCUAGGUGCACUUCAAUUGGAAGGCUAGACCUUCCAAAAUUCGGGAGGCUGAAGAAAUUAGAUGCUAGAGGUUGCAAAAACUUAGCCGAAAUUCAAGGGCUCGAUAGUUUGGAGUAUUUGGAAAGUCUAGAUAUCUCUAGGUGCACUUCAAUUGGAAGGCUAGACCUUCCAAAAUCCGGAAGUAUGAAGAGAUUAGUUGUUGGUUGGUGCAAGAAAUUAGCUGAAAUUCAAGGCCUCGAUAGGUUGGAGUCCUUGAAAAAACUAGAUAUCUCUUGGUGCGCUUCAAUUGAAAGGCUACUCCUUCCAAAAUCCGAGAGUCUGAAGAUAUUAGAAGCUAGAGACUGUGAAAACUUGGUUGAAAUUCAAGGCCUUGAUAGGUUGGAGUUUUUGAAAGAACUGAAUAUCACUGGAUGCAAGUCACUCAAAACAAUUCCAGAAUUAUCUAGAACUUGGAUUUAUCGAUAUAGUGUACUUACAAAUAGCGAAAUGAUAGGAUGUGGAUUAGACGAUAUGGAUGACUUGGAUGAGUUUGGUGACUUGGAUGAGUUGGAUUACUUGAUGAGUCGGAUGACUCAGAUGAGUCAAUAUAAUGGAAGCAAUCCCCAUUUACUAUCAAAGGUACAUAGAGCAGCUGACAGUGUCAUCAUUGUCUCCUUACUUGAAUUCAAGGAAUUGAGGGGAAAUAUCCAUGGAAAUUGUUGUGUGCUUUGGCAACAAGAUUUUGCUUAUCAUGCCAGUAAGGGAAAUAGAUGGAAAAGGCUUUCUAAGUGCAUCAUUUGUCAUUAGUUUUCAGGAUUCAAGUGGACUUUCCUCAUCCUCUCACUCUUCAACUGGCUCAAGCGUUCCUCUAGCUUUAGCUAUGGAGACCAGCAAAGGACCACAAUGUGUUGUGCUCCUGUUUCAGCUUCAGUUUGAUAAAUCAUUGGCUUCUCAGGUGAAGAUGACGGAGUGGAAUCCAAAGAAGUAUUGGCCGGCGAUGGUCAAGAAGGACUCGAAGGCGAUGUCAAUUCGCAGAGGCUGUGGACAAUGUCUCCUUGUAAUUGCUUCAAAGCGAGAAGGUCAAGUCAGCAAGACGUCUUACACGCAUUAUUGUGCUAGAGAAUUACUGCAACUUGGAGGUUUUGGGGACAGUGAAUAUUUGCGAAGGACACUUGCGGAGGAAUUUCAACAGAUGGAACAGAGAGUACAAAUACAGGAUGGCUCUGAAUUUGCUUCAUCCAAUCAAACUCAUGAAAUUGGGUUUACAGAUUAUAUCUCCUUCCAAAUAGUCUUUGUUAGAUGUUACAAACGAUAUAGCAGUGGCGAGGUGAUUUAUGAAUGAUUCAAGCAAUGUGAAGUAGGGAAGGCCUUUGGAAUCAAUCUUGUUGUGCAUCCCUCCUGGUUACUACGGUGUGGAUUUGGCUCUAUAAAAGGAACUUCAAAUUGUUAUGCUGCUAAAUAAGAUGAAUGAUGCUUGUGAAAACUUGAGAGAUGCCUGGAUGAUGAUCUUGCAGACCAGUGACGUUCCAUUUAUGCAUAUUUCAAGAACCUCUUGUGCAAUUAACUGGGAGUUGGACCAAUUGAAGGAUGACUUUGAAUUUGCUUCAGAUUAUAUUUCCUUCCAAAUACAUGAGGAGUCUUUUUUAGAUGUAACAAAUCGUAUAGUGGUAGUGAGUGGACUUAUGAAUGAUUCAAGCAAUGUGAAGAAGGGAAGAUCUUUGGAAGGAUCUUGUUGUGCAUCCCUCUUGGUCAUUGUUGUGUGGAUUAGACUCUAUCUAAGGUGAAAACUUGGGAGAUGUUGAGAUGACAAUCCUGUAGGCUAGUGACCUUCCAUUUGUGCAUAUUGCAGGAACCACGCGUGCAAAUAACUGGGAUUUAUACCCGUUGAAGGACCAUACCUUAUGCCUGGAGAUGGAGAAUGAGAAGCUUCGCAGCAUUCCCCAUCCUGUUGUUCUCCCUUGUCAGUUGGUGGUAGAGGCGUGGCUUGUGUUUUAGCUGCAAGAAAGUGGGCCCCGAUGUACAUACUGGACGAGUAUGAAGAAGAAAUCUCUGAUUCAGAAUGACUGUCUGUUCAAGAGUUUGUGGUGGUUAUGCUUAUGUUGCUGGUGUUGGUGGACCUCUCAUACUUGGAGCUGCAGACAUUGGUGUGAGAAGCAAUGCAUGUGGGCUUUCUGACUGAUGCUCUUCGACUUCACCCUUUCUAGAGAAGUCUUAAUCCAUACCUGCCAUGUGCCUUCUCUGCUAGGCGGGUAUUUGUCGAUAAAAAAAAGUGGAGUAAAAUGUAGCGAUUUAUCUAUCGAGUGGGAUAGAAUUGACCGAAAGAUGCUGAAUCAUGGCUUCUAUCUGAUGGUAACUGUCGUCAUGGUAUUGCUGUAAGCUUUGAGACCUGCUUGAUAGUGCCAAGCUUUUGCUUCAUCUGUAUAUGUUCACUAUUUUCAUGUGUAAGAGAACCAAUUGUUUGGUU